Molecule: ribosomal RNA, 2792 nt
Filed under: Escherichia coli
Lineage: Bacteria; Pseudomonadati; Pseudomonadota; Gammaproteobacteria; Enterobacterales; Enterobacteriaceae
Description: bacterial LSU rRNA
Rfam family: Bacterial large subunit ribosomal RNA
Source: RNAcentral
UUAAGCGACUAAGCGUACACGGUGGAUGCCCUGGCAGUCAGAGGCGAUGAAGGACGUGCUAAUCUGCGAUAAGCGUCGGUAAGGUGAUAUGAACCGUUAUAACCGGCGAUUUCCGAAUGGGGAAACCCAGUGUGAUUCGUCACACUAUCAUUAACUGAAUCCAUAGGUUAAUGAGGCGAACCGGGGGAACUGAAACAUCUAAGUACCCCGAGGAAAAGAAAUCAACCGAGAUUCCCCCAGUAGCGGCGAGCGAACGGGGAGCAGCCCAGAGCCUGAAUCAGUGUGUGUGUUAGUGGAAGCGUCUGGAAAGGCGCGCGAUACAGGGUGACAGCCCCGUACACAAAAAUGCACAUGCUGUGAGCUCGAUGAGUAGGGCGGGACACGUGGUAUCCUGUCUGAAUAUGGGGGGACCAUCCUCCAAGGCUAAAUACUCCUGACUGACCGAUAGUGAACCAGUACCGUGAGGGAAAGGCGAAAAGAACCCCGGCGAGGGGAGUGAAAAAGAACCUGAAACCGUGUACGUACAAGCAGUGGGAGCCUCUUUAUGGGGUGACUGCGUACCUUUUGUAUAAUGGGUCAGCGACUUAUAUUCUGUAGCAAGGUUAACCGAAUAGGGGAGCCGAAGGGAAACCGAGUCUUAACUGGGCGUUAAGUUGCAGGGUAUAGACCCGAAACCCGGUGAUCUAGCCAUGGGCAGGUUGAAGGUUGGGUAACACUAACUGGAGGACCGAACCGACUAAUGUUGAAAAAUUAGCGGAUGACUUGUGGCUGGGGGUGAAAGGCCAAUCAAACCGGGAGAUAGCUGGUUCUCCCCGAAAGCUAUUUAGGUAGCGCCUCGUGAAUUCAUCUCCGGGGGUAGAGCACUGUUUCGGCAAGGGGGUCAUCCCGACUUACCAACCCGAUGCAAACUGCGAAUACCGGAGAAUGUUAUCACGGGAGACACACGGCGGGUGCUAACGUCCGUCGUGAAGAGGGAAACAACCCAGACCGCCAGCUAAGGUCCCAAAGUCAUGGUUAAGUGGGAAACGAUGUGGGAAGGCCCAGACAGCCAGGAUGUUGGCUUAGAAGCAGCCAUCAUUUAAAGAAAGCGUAAUAGCUCACUGGUCGAGUCGGCCUGCGCGGAAGAUGUAACGGGGCUAAACCAUGCACCGAAGCUGCGGCAGCGACGCUUAUGCGUUGUUGGGUAGGGGAGCGUUCUGUAAGCCUGUGAAGGUGUGCUGUGAGGCAUGCUGGAGGUAUCAGAAGUGCGAAUGCUGACAUAAGUAACGAUAAAGCGGGUGAAAAGCCCGCUCGCCGGAAGACCAAGGGUUCCUGUCCAACGUUAAUCGGGGCAGGGUGAGUCGACCCCUAAGGCGAGGCCGAAAGGCGUAGUCGAUGGGAAACAGGUUAAUAUUCCUGUACUUGGUGUUACUGCGAAGGGGGGACGGAGAAGGCUAUGUUGGCCGGGCGACGGUUGUCCCGGUUUAAGCGUGUAGGCUGGUUUUCCAGGCAAAUCCGGAAAAUCAAGGCUGAGGCGUGAUGACGAGGCACUACGGUGCUGAAGCAACAAAUGCCCUGCUUCCAGGAAAAGCCUCUAAGCAUCAGGUAACAUCAAAUCGUACCCCAAACCGACACAGGUGGUCAGGUAGAGAAUACCAAGGCGCUUGAGAGAACUCGGGUGAAGGAACUAGGCAAAAUGGUGCCGUAACUUCGGGAGAAGGCACGCUGAUAUGUAGGUGAGGUCCCUCGCGGAUGGAGCUGAAAUCAGUCGAAGAUACCAGCUGGCUGCAACUGUUUAUUAAAAACACAGCACUGUGCAAACACGAAAGUGGACGUAUACGGUGUGACGCCUGCCCGGUGCCGGAAGGUUAAUUGAUGGGGUUAGCGGUAACGCGAAGCUCUUGAUCGAAGCCCCGGUAAACGGCGGCCGUAACUAUAACGGUCCUAAGGUAGCGAAAUUCCUUGUCGGGUAAGUUCCGACCUGCACGAAUGGCGUAAUGAUGGCCAGGCUGUCUCCACCCGAGACUCAGUGAAAUUGAACUCGCUGUGAAGAUGCAGUGUACCCGCGGCAAGACGGAAAGACCCCGUGAACCUUUACUAUAGCUUGACACUGAACAUUGAGCCUUGAUGUGUAGGAUAGGUGGGAGGCUUUGAAGUGUGGACGCCAGUCUGCAUGGAGCCGACCUUGAAAUACCACCCUUUAAUGUUUGAUGUUCUAACGUUGACCCGUAAUCCGGGUUGCGGACAGUGUCUGGUGGGUAGUUUGACUGGGGCGGUCUCCUCCUAAAGAGUAACGGAGGAGCACGAAGGUUGGCUAAUCCUGGUCGGACAUCAGGAGGUUAGUGCAAUGGCAUAAGCCAGCUUGACUGCGAGCGUGACGGCGCGAGCAGGUGCGAAAGCAGGUCAUAGUGAUCCGGUGGUUCUGAAUGGAAGGGCCAUCGCUCAACGGAUAAAAGGUACUCCGGGGAUAACAGGCUGAUACCGCCCAAGAGUUCAUAUCGACGGCGGUGUUUGGCACCUCGAUGUCGGCUCAUCACAUCCUGGGGCUGAAGUAGGUCCCAAGGGUAUGGCUGUUCGCCAUUUAAAGUGGUACGCGAGCUGGGUUUAGAACGUCGUGAGACAGUUCGGUCCCUAUCUGCCGUGGGCGCUGGAGAACUGAGGGGGGCUGCUCCUAGUACGAGAGGACCGGAGUGGACGCAUCACUGGUGUUCGGGUUGUCAUGCCAAUGGCACUGCCCGGUAGCUAAAUGCGGAAGAGAUAAGUGCUGAAAGCAUCUAAGCACGAAACUUGCCCCGAGAUGAGUUCUCCCUGAC